UACCCCACUUUGCACCUCCCAGAGAAGUAAGUUAUCAUUUUUCCUUAAUUCUUAUCUUCUGUCAGAAUACUGUGCGUCCAAGAGAUUACGGUUGUUUUCGUAAUGGUGUAGAUGCGAAGAUGAGAAGCCUUUCUUGUCGAAGUAUGAGAUAUCAAGAAAGAAGGCAGAAUCUCUGGGUGUCAACUUCACUCCAUUCGAGGUGAGUCUGAGAGAUACCGUCGAAUGCCUCAAGGAAAAGGGAUUCAUCUCUAUCUAGGCACUUGCUUAGAACAGCAUGUCACGAGCUUGCUAAUAAUGACUUGUGGACCUGUGGUCUGUCCUCAGCCUUUCAGCUCCUAAAUCAUACAAUUCUUCUGAAUAAUGUAUCAUUACCCACUUUUAGAGAUAACUCUGCCAGUUUUUCCCAGCUAAUCUUACGUUAUUGAUGUUUAGUUUCUGUGUCCAAUUUGCCUGCCGAAACAACUCAUCAUAUAGAACAUCAGAUAUAAUCUUGAAGACUUUGUAAGCAAUGUCGAAAACUUGUGAGAUAAAUUGAGUUAAUGACUCAAGCUAGCGGUUAAUCCAAGAAGGCUCCUUUCUGGCCAACAUACUUGACUGCCAUUAUGUAUAAAGCCAAUAGAAAAAUGAAGGACUCACUAUGAUUGGAUAUGAAUAUCAAAGACUGAUUCUGCCAGUAACUUAUAUGACCAAAAGAUUGGUGACUCAUGAUACUCUCAAUCAACAGAGCAUUGAACAGUGUUUCUGAGCUUAACAAAACCUUGAUAAUAAUAGCUAGUAGACAAUGCGUACUGGCUGUGAUUGCCAUCCCGAUGCAAGAGAGCUUUACACGACCAAAUUGCAUCUGAACUUGCAGCACCUAAUAUGAGCGUGCACUUUCUGUCGUCAGAUGUAAUAUGUGUUAUCAAACAAUCAAUUCUUCACUUCUGAUGAAAGCAUCUGAACUGCCAUCUCAUUUCAUUUGCAUAUGCAAUGGUCUGACAGGCCUUUGUAUAACUCCCAAUGCAUUAUCCCAUCCAUAGCUUCAACACCUUAUCUUUACCACCAGAAGCAACAUUCUCACCAUCUGGAUUCCAAUCGACUGCAAAAACCUUCUCACGAGAACACCUGCUAAAGUAAGCAAGUGGUAGUCCAUGAUAAAAAUACAAACUUAAAAACUUGUCUGAUGACCAUGUUAAGGGAACAAACCUCAUCCGCAUGACCCGGAAGAUCUUGUUUCAACUUCUUCGUGCGAAUAUCCCAGAUCUAAAAGUAAGCCAAAUAUUGAGCAAACAUUUAAGCAUUCAAAUCAGGCAAAAAUUCAUAAUAAUCAUAACCGGUAAAAAGGGCAGACUCCACAUGCUAUUGAUAUUUACAAAUAGUUCAAACAGAAUUAAAACAAGCAAGAGAACAUCACUCAAGCUUCCAUACGUACUCUGCUUUACAAUAUCCUCAUCACCAUAUCUCACAAAAUAAGCAGACCUAACAUGGUCCAAUGGUUCAAAAAAUAACUUAAAUAGGCCAUUGAGAUCUCAAUGAAAACAAGUUGCACUAGAACUCAGCAACAACCAGGGGGAAAAAUCCUUAUUGCUUGCACCAUAAAUAAACUAAUUUCCUGUAACACAUUGAUAUUUUUUUCACAGAUAAUAUUACAAGCUCUCCUGUUACAAUUCUAAGUGACCACACUUGAUCUCUCUUAAAGCUGGCCCAUGACACAUGUAAGUACUUUAUGGAAAUCAUUCGAACGCUAUAUGCUUUGUGCAACUGACCUUCAGGGUAGUCUUUGCUCCCACUUAAAAGAAGUCUACUAUCUGCAGACCAACUGUGCAUUAUGUAAAUCAUGAUUAGAAAUCAUUCUUGAAUGGAUAAGACGAGCAAAUUUUGAAAAUAUCUCAAACCUUAUCUGAUAUACAGGCCGGACAUGUCCACUGAAUGCAGCAACAAACUUCCCAAUAAUACCAUUCCACAACUUCACAGAUCUAUCAAACGAAGCACUAGCCACCCAUUGCCCAUCCGGUGAAAAGUAGACAUGAUCCACAAGCUGCAAACAAAAAGCAUAAUUUCCCGCAUUUACACCUAACAAGGAUCUAAAGUAUUAGCCUCAAGAAAAUAUUAGGAGGAUGUCUCAUCCAUUGAACCAGUGCCACCAGGACCACAAUGUGGAGUACGUCCUUAUUUAGCAUCAUUAUGGCAAUUGAUAGUAUAUACUGGAGCACAAACAGUCUUCUAAAUACAGUAAAUACUUAGGGAAUCAAUCACACAGCAAAAGCAGGCAGCUGUCAAAUCAAUCUCCCUCCCUCCUCCCUCACACACGCACGCACACACAAACCUGUUGGUGAUCGGUCAUUCGUGUUUUUGGAUGCUUACCAACAGAAGGUUCCCACAAAAACAUAGUAAAAUCAUCAGAUCCAGAGACCAAUUUUUCGGGAACAUUGCCUUUCAUUUUCUUGUAACUUUCUAAUGCAACCUAUGUUCAUCAACAAAAUACAGAAGUUCAUAUGACAGUUACCAGAAAGUAGAACUACAAAUGUGCACAGACCCAAAGGCAGAGAAUCACCACAAGGGGGCAGAACAUGCACAGAGCCAGAAGACGUGCUGACUAAUGCAUACUAGGUUGUAAGAAAAUAAUGUCCAGAGAGAAAUAACCAAUGCAUACUAAGUUGCAUGAGCAAAUCAAUAUGCAGAGAGAAAUAAAUGUUUGAUUUAUUGCCUCAUGAUAUAAAGAUGAUUCCACAUAAUAACAGUUACCUACUUGCUUCAUUUCUUCAGAAGAUGAAUACUGUUUUCCAGUGUGAUCAAAAGCUACAGUUCGAAGAACAUACUCAGUGCUCAGAGCAGGGAGUUAACCCAGUGUCCAAAAUCCUACAACAAAAAUUUUAACAGAAAUAACGAUGAUUGUGAAAAAAAGAAGAGAGGGAUCUAGCAGCAACUUAGAUUAAGAAUGCGGACUUGGCAGUAGAAACUAAGAAAAGACAUAAACACGCAAGCCAUGAAAACAAAACUCUAACCUUAAUAUGCAAUUCACAUCUCAGAGACAUCGAAAAAUGGUGGUAUUUCAUUCUUAACGUCAAUAUCUCCCGAGAACUAUACAAUGAAAACAUUCAAGGACAUGAUGUCGCCAAUAGCUGGGCUAAAUAAUAUGCCCAAUUAGUAGGGGGUAGGUCACUAGGUGCCAAACUGCCUCCUGGCACCAAAGAGAUUGAGUGAAUGCAGCUACUGCAAAGGCGCAAAUAAAUAUAAAGCUAUUGUGGUGAAGAAGAAGACAGGCAUGCAAUGACCCUGCAAUCUGUAUUACAAACUUUAAAAAAGAUGUUACCUUCAAUUCCCUUAUCAGCUUCCCCUGGGAGUUUCUCAGACAUUAAUUGUACAGUCCUGGGAGCUGCAAGAAAUUUAAAAUAAUUACUUCACCAGGUAACAAGUAGUAGAAGCAGCAGCAGUUUGGCAAAGUCCAAGGAUACUCAGUAGCUUGAAAGCAGAAUUUACAAGUCCUCGCCUAAUCUGAGGCCCAUCAGAAGUAUGAUUUAGUAAAAAAAACUUCAUGUUAUUCUUUUGUUGUUCAUGUAGCACGGCACUAGCAUAUGGACAUUAAUACAUCACAAAGUGAUUAAAUAUUUAUCUCAGUGUGGAAUUGCCUCUCUUGUUCCAACUUGUCAGUGGGACAGUUAUUAAGGGUUGGCGGAUCAAGUCCUUCCAUUGAGAAUUUAGUUUGCAGCCUCAGUGAUAUUCAUUUCCGCACAACAUGAAAACUAUCGCUGACAACGUGUACUAGGAUUUGGUAAUUCAUGAUUUUAAGAUUCGAAACAUUUAACCAACACGGGCAUUAAAAGUAGCAGGAGGGCUUACAUUUAGGAAGCACAAAACCGAACCAGCCAAUGAACUUCCAAUAGCCAAAAGCGCCAAGAAGCGGAAGUCAAAGAUCACCUGCUCAGCAAUGGAGGACUACUCUUUGAACAUAGAUGCACUAAUAAAGGCAAUCAAUACGAAAGAACACACCGGUCAUGAAAGCAGAAAUAAAGAGCAACAAGGAAUUAAAAUCAAGCGCAGCUCAUUACAAGUCCAUUGCAAUAGCUUUUGCAGUUGAAAAUACAACCUUCGAUCCAUCAGGACCCUCCAGCAAUUGAGCAUAUACACCCAGUAUGUAAAACAGGCUCUCAAACAUCCAAACCCACCAAACCCAAAUCACCGAACCUCUUUCUAAUUCUCCGUAGCUGAGCAAUAAACAAACUUCCAACAACUCAGGAGCAACAAUUGUUCAAAGGAGGAGGAAACGAUCGAGCGAACGGACAAGCUAAAGAACUGAGUCGGUUCGGCUCACUUUUUAGAUGUUCGAUUCGGCGGCCUGAACGAAACCGACGAGGGGACUGCUGUUGGGACACAGACGCACGAUCAGACACAGAGACGGAGAGAGAGAUAUUUUUCAUUCAUUGUGGCGGGUAACCGUUAAUUUAUCAACGGUGGAGAUCGCAUCAGGAUGCGCACUGGGGCUUUUACUGGCAAAAGUACCAAGUGCAACUGGAGUCUGCAGACAUUUAUACGUGCCUAUCAAAAUUAGUUGCAGCCGGCUUCUCAUCCGAUCGUCAAUGUGAAUUGCACGGAAAUGUAGAGAGAUAUCGAUACUUUUCUGAAUCUAUAUAACUAAAAUUAGUCGGUAUCUAAUGGGACGAAUGUCUGUAAGUCGGUCAUAUUGAGAUUAGUAAUAUUGAACGAAAGUCAUUGACUUCAAAACUUUGGUAAAUCAUAAUCGAACAAAAAUCACUAACAUCAUCAAAAUAUUUGAUAAUCUUGCAAGUAUAAAUUUUUUUUAGUAAAUGACUGAAAUUAAUUAGAAUCUUAACGUGACAUAUGCUGGUGCACCGAUUAGAUUAAAGUCAAUAAUUUCUUAUAUAGGUCAAUGACUUCGGUAACGUUGAUAAGCCAUAUAUAUAUAAAUGUUCGGAGAUUGAUAAUUUAUCCUCCAUAAAUAAAUCUUAGAUACUUGUAAAAACUUCUUCUUAAUUACUAACAUGUGAUUGGGUAAGCAAAAAUGAACUUUUUGUUGAUAUUUGACGUACACACCUAAUAUUUGACAUACACAUCUCUAUUGCUUUGGAUACAGUUCUAUAGACAAAUAAAGAAAAUAUAGUAAUACAGCACAUGGUAGUUCAUUAUUUCUUGGCAUGACCCUGAAAGUGGAUGCUUGACCUGAUCGAGGGUUCGAGUUUUCCAGAAUAAGGAUUGAAACCCAUUUACCUCCGGUCUCAUCGCCUAUUUCUUAGAAGCUUCGCCCUCCUGUUUCCAAUCGGCAACCACCUUCUGGCAAUUCUAUCUAUAAAAUCGAAGUAUGAGUUUGCCCAAGAACCUUUGAUGUGCAAGACCACAAUUGGAACUAAUAUACCGGCAGCAUAUCCAAGGCCGACGCUCAAGUAAAACCACUGAUCAAUGAACUCAUCAUCACCGCGACUGUCCUCGAUUGUCUCUCGUUUGUCAGGUUCAUCGGCUGGACACGUGACAUUGAGGGGAGCACCGCAGAGUCCCGAGUUUCCAUAGUAUGAAGAAGGGAAUGUCAUCAUUUGUUGUGUGUAAGGAAUCUUUCUCGAGAAGUUAUUAUCAGAUAAAUUUAGAUAACUCAAAAAUGACAGCGAUGGCAUGCUUUGAGGGAUUACACCAAAAAGCCUGUUGCUUGAAAGAUCAAGGGAUAACAGUUGGCUCAUGCUCGAAAUGCUCUCAGGAAUUUCACCACCAAUGUCGUUUCUUGAUAAGUUCAGAAUGAGCAAUCCAACCAGUUUAGUCAUUUCUUUUGGAAAUUCUCCACCUAAAUUAUUUCCGGAGAUAUCUACGCUAGUGACAAGGGAAAGAGUCUUGGUGUACAGUUGGCUUUGGCUUUGCAUGGUCACUCGGCAGUUCUCUUGAUAGUAUGUGCCUCCGUAGUUCCUGUAAAAUAGGUACUCGAUUCUAGCUUGCCCUUCUACCAUUGCUUUAAGAUCUCCAAAGCUUGAAGGAAUGUUACCUGUCAAAUUGUUUUCUGCAAGAUCCAGCACUUGCAAUGAGCUUAAACUUGAGAGCUCAUGAGGAAUUUCUCCAGAAAAUGCAUUGGACCUCAAACUUAAAAUUCUUAAAUUGAUGAAACCCUCCGCCAUCCAUGCAGGUAUGGUGCCAUUCAAUUGGUUGUUGCCAAUAUCUAGCGUUUCUAAGCUGGACAGAUUCUUGAAUGAAGAUGGAAGGUCUCCUGAGAGCUUAUUGUUGCUGAGGUACAGAGACUGAAGCCCUUGUAAUUGGCCCAAAGGCGCGGCUAUCAAUCCAGAUAAAGAAUUGUUUUGUAGGUUGAGUACCUCUAGGCUUGAGCAGUUCCCUAUGCUUGGAGGAAUGCUUCCACUCAAAUUGUUGUUUGCUAAGUUGAUGACCUGAAGCCAUUGCAUUUCUCCUAUAGAUUCUGGGAGCCCACCUGUUAUUCUGUUAGAUGAAAGGGAGAGGAAGCCCAAUUCCGGCAUGUAUUUGCUUAAAUUUUGUGGAAUGCCACCUAAAAAUUGGUUGUUAGAGAGGUCUAACAAUCUAAUCUCAGAAAUGGGAAGAGGGAACGGUCCCUGAAAAAAGGUUAGAGCUGAGAUCAACAAGCGCAAGAGGAGCUGCUGGCAACGGAUUAGGUAAUUGGCCCUGCAACAGAUUUAGAGACAUGUUGAGGAGAGAGAGAUUCGAAGAAAUGUCCCAAAACCAACUUGGCACAGGCCCCGAAAUGCUGGCAUUUGAAAAAUCAAGAUAGUUGAUCUCAUUUUCAUGUCUAAGCCAGGCGGGGAAAGAUGGACCGAUCUGGCACGAUCCCAUGCCAAGACUGUGGACUUGGAACGGAGGCAUCCAGUCGGCACUGACAUUUAAAGUGAAAGAGUUGGAUGAGAGAUCUAAGGUCUUCAUUUUGCGUAGAUUUGCAAAAUGUUCUUCAGAUAGUGUACCUGACAAAUGAUUGAAAGACACGUCGAGAACAUCCAACUCAGAAAGUUGUCCCAGAUCAACGGGAAGAGUCCCAUUCAAUUGGUUCCUACCAAGGUCCAGAACGGUGAGGUUCUUCAGAGUCCCAAGAGAAGAAGGACUCGGCCCUUCAAGCAAGUUAUAGUCAAGGGUUAGUUCCUCAAGGUUUUUAAAUUGGCCCAUCCAACUUGGCAGAUAACCCCUCAGCCGAUUGUCGUUCAAUCUCAAGUACCUCAAAUUAGGCAAAGAACUCUGGGAAUAACAAGUUUCAGAUCCCCUCUGCAAAAUUUCCGGCAAACUACUUUUCAAGUUGUUGUUGGAUAAAUCAAAAUUAACUAAACUGCAAAGUGAACCGAUGGAGCUCGGUAUUCCUCCCCUGACCAGAUUCCAAGAAAGGUCAAAAUUACUGAGUGGUUAUUUUCCCAAUGGAAGUGGGAAGUAUUCCGUGUAUUUUAUUAUCAGCCAAAUCCAUAACUUCUAUCCUUUUCCAUGAUCCUUGGAACAACUGAGUACAACUUGCUGAGAAAUUAUCGUUUCCAGAUAAAAUUAGGAUUUGCAAGUGCGGUAGCUCGCCUAGACCAAGAGGGAUCCUUCCAUAUAGACCACUGAAACUCAUGUCAACACUAACAAGGCUGCUUACAUUCAAAAGCCAUUGAGGGAACUCUGAAUCGAAACUGUUGAAGCUGAGGUCUAGAGCAGCGAGUGAAGUGAAGUUCACCAAACCAGGUGAUGAUAUCAAACAAGAUAGGCGACAAUCGGACAGAUGCAACCCCGACAACGACAGAAACCCGUUUAGCACACUGAUCCACGUGGAACUAACCAUUGAGAGGUUCACUCCAUCAAGCGCAAGAUAUUUCAGAGAACCAAGACCAGAAAUCCACCCGAGAUUAUUAGUACUUAACCACUGAAAGGGAGUAGGAAGAUCAAGAUACUGCAAGUUUGACAAAUUUUCUAGAUUUGGAGGAAUUGCACCACGAAACUUGGCAAUUGGCAGGUUCAGGUACCGUAGGUUCUCCAAAGAACCAACAAAUGCAGGAACUGGUACGCCAUCAAAAUUAUUUGAGCUCAAGUCCAAGAAUCUCAGAGACUUGAGUCGCGCUAAUGAAGGUCUAAUUUCUCCACACGGUUUCCAAUAAGUAUACAUACUAGAGUAGCCACGAAGAUCAAUGCUUAUCACCCCUCCAGUCCUCUCAUCGCAGCCUAUUCCACCAGCAACAAUUGCUUCCUUGCCAUGAGGACAGGCGAUUAUAAGGAUCUUGAAGGCCAUUUUUGAAGUCAAUUAGAGCUUCCCUAUCAGACCCUGAGCAAUUCCCAGCAGGGAUAUUGCCGUCACAAGCCGAUAGCCAUGCUAAAAUGGAGAUAGAGACUAGUAUAAUGCAAAGGGAUGAAUCUCUCGCCAUCUUGAUCAAAAUAUGUAAAACUGAAGGUAGCAUUACAAGGACUAGUAACCCGGGACUAGUUUGUUUCAAAUAUUGCUUGAAAAGUCAAGUGGGAUCAGCAGGAUAAUCACGAGAUGUCCAAAGAAAGUUAAAGAGAUGUUGACUGAUUGAGUCUUUGUGAGUAAAAUAUUUAGGCGUGGAGUAUAAAAGGAUUCAAUGACUUGAAAAACUAAGGGUUAAUUCCUUGAAAAACCCCAAACUAGUACACCUAUAAUAAAUUUACUUCAAAUUAAUUUGUUGAUCACAAAAAGUCCUAAACGGGUACACUUAUGACAAAUUUACCUUAAAUGACCACAAAAAAUCCCAAACUAGUAUUUACUCUAAACUAAUUUGUUCAACUGCCAAAAAUCUCAAGCUAAUACAUUUGCGAUAAAUAUACCUUCCCUUAGAUUGAAUCAAUAUUGUAAAAACCAAAAAAAUAAUACAAUUGUAAUAAACAAAAAGUAAAUCCCAAAUUGGUACACUAGUUAACUAACACAUAUCAUCUAACUUAACAAAGAGUAAAUUUAUCAUAAGUAUACCAAUUUGAGGUAAAAUUGCCAAAGUGCACCAAUUUAGGGUUUUAGGUGGACUGACUCAGUCUUUGCAAGUCAAAUAUUUAGGCGUGGAGUAUAAAAAGGUUCAAUGACUUGAAAAAUUAACGGCAUCUAAUGUAUUUAAUUCAUUGUUUUGGGCAUUCAUGAAUUCAUUCACAUGAACUGGUCAUCUCAUUUUCGUAUCAACAUUAGAUCUUAUUUAUGAUAUUAUGCCAUCUCAUGCGUUGAUCUCGUUUCUCAACUAUUGUAUCAAGUCAGCUUUUGGAAUUGCCCUUCUUUUUUACCAACAGCAAAAAGAAUUUCUUGAUGGGCACACUUCCCGCAAGAAAAAAAAAUUCAUCUUGAAUCCAGUUAUCUUCAUUGAUGCCAAACAUGAGUGCAGGACUUGGAGAACUGAAUAGUCGUGGAAAAGAAAAGAAAGGGAUUUAGAGAAUGGUGGGAGUCUGAAAUUGAUUUGCAAUUUUCUCGCCCAUGUAUCUAUAAAUUAUUGAAACAAUUACAACUUUUUGAAAUAAAUCAUAUAAACAUUGACAAUGAAACAAUUAAAACUUUUGAAAUAAACCAUAUAAACAUUGACAAUUGAACUCAAAUAAGUGUUAGUAAUUUUGUGUAAGGUUUUAGUAGCUUGGGACCUUUAUUAAUUGGUAAGUUGCAAAAAUAAGCGUUGAUAAAUCAUUGGAACUGUUGGUAGCUGCGUAACAAUUGAAUAAUCAUUAGUAACCAUGUCAGCUAAAAGUUAAUGAUUUCACAUAAGAAUUAGGUGAUUUUUCAUUGGAGUCGGUAACUUUAACAUGCUGAUAUCCACAAAUAAAUGUUGAUGAAGUCUUAAGAUAGGUGGUGAUUUCAAAUAUCAUUAGAUGAACAUCAAUAGUUCAAUAAAAUAAGCAUUAGUAAAGCCAAAAGCAUAUGGUAACCUCAUCCACGAAAAUGCGUUAAAUCAUUCGCAAUAAUAUCGGUAAUUUGCUAUCAUGUAAUCUUAAUUCAAUGGUAACUCUAAUAAAUAAUAAUUGGUAAAUUCUUAGAACAAUUAAAAAGUUAAUAAACGAGAGUUGGAAAAUAUUUUAACAAAAUUAGUAACUUUAAUACGUUGGUCAGGCAUGUAAAUAACAUGAGUAAUCUACACAAAUAGUUUGUAAUUUAAAACAGUCAAAUUACUGACGGUCCUUUCCCAAAAUUGUUACUAACUUACUAAAAGCCAAAUUACUAUUGUACUUUCAUAUAACAGUGGGUAAUUUAUUAACAUGAUACAGGUUAAAUAAGAUGCCAGUCAGUUUAGUUGCUAAUAGGUUUGACAUUUAACAAAACUUAAAAUGAAUUAGUGGCACCGAAUAAUGUUCUGUAUAUUCAUACACGGAGCGCUGAUAAUCUGAUUGUUGGGUCUUAAUUAUGUAACCCUUCUUGAGCUUGUGGUUUGAGGGUCUUCACAGAUGAGGGCAGAUGUGGAACUGCUUGAAAAUGCGCAUAUAGUUCCAGCGACUAAUGUCCAGAACCAGACACUAUAAAAUAUCAUGGACAGCUUUCUUCAGCAAAAGAUGCUCCAAGUCUGGCCGAGACCAGUUAUCUAGAAUCGACAGAAGCAAUAAGUUAAUUAGCUUUUGUGGUGCAUCUACAUAACAAUCCAACUACCAAGAAAGUCUACCAUUCCGUGAAGCUUCCCCAGAGAGGUCAGAGAAUAGUGCCAUAGCUCAGGCAGGGGGAGAGAGAGAGAGAGAGAUGAACGUGGUGUGUGUCACCAGAGCAUCAGGCUAUAUGGCGUCAUAGUAAGUGAAACUCCUGCUCCAAAGUGGCUACACCAUCAAAGCAACCGUUCGUGACCCGAGUCAGUUCAAGACCCUUGAUUACAUUCAUGCAUGACAUCGUUUAUGGCUUCACCAGUCCAUAUCAUUACAAGAAGUUGUUCUAAUUUACAUGUAACGGGUGAUACAAAGAAGACUGUGCAUCUGCUUGCUCUAGAUGGAGCCAAGGAGAGACUUCAUCUUUGUAAGGCAGACCUACUGGAAGUAGGAUCUUUUGAGUCCAUUGUCGAUGGAUGUGAUGGUGUCUUCCACACUGCAUCACCUGUGCUUCUCACCCCCAAAGACCCCAAGGUUCUUUUGCUCUUUCAAAGGCUUGUGUCAUGGUCUCUCAAAUGUUCUUUUUUCCCUUGUUUCUUUGGAAACACGAGGUAGAAAUUAGCGCUUAAAAAUAGUGUUGCCAAACCAGUGGUUUUUUAAAUUGUAUAUCGUUUUGGCCAUAGCAAUUAAAUGCAGAAGUUGUAAUAGUCUACAUAUACGCAAAGUAGGAGCCAAUUUCAAACUAUUAGCAAGAAUUCAAUGGCAAAAUAGAAAGCUUCAACUCAAGGUUUCUGCGAGGGCAACAAAUCUAACUCUUCAGCACAAUGCAUUCAUCCAUAUUGCGGUUUCUCCAUCUCUAUAUAUGUCCUCGACUUCAAUAAGUUCAGUAGUUCAUACUUGUCUUUCCGUGUCUCAGAUGGAGCUGAUAGAUCCUGCAGGGAGGGGAAUAAUUAAUGUUCUUUCUUCUUGUGCCGAAGUCCCUACAAUCAAGAGAGUGGUGAUAACAUCUUCUAUGGCUUCAGUUGCAUUCAAUGGAAAGACUUUGACUCCUGAUGUGACAUUAGUUGAGACUUGGUUUUCUGAUCCAGUAAUCUGUCAGAUAUCAGAGGUAAUUAUACGUGACAUUCUAAAUUCACCUAAGUCGUCAGAACAUGCCAUUUUUCACCUUUCUUGCAUCAUCAAUUAAAUCUUAGAAAAUGUCAGAAAUGCAGAACGUUUUCCAUUUUUGUUUUUCCUUGGAUGAACUACAUAAAAAAAAAAUUCUACUCAGAUUUGGAUCUGUCGCAAGUUCUUCCUAGUAACUUUAGACCAUCACAGAGGAGCUAGCAUGCAUCAACUACUCAAAUUGAUUUCAUUGUGCACUUCUUGCUUUUCUGUUUCAGCUUUGGUACCCAGUUCGAAAACCUUAGCUGAAGAGCCAGCAUGGAGAUUUGGAAGAGAGAAGGGGAUCGAUUUGUUCACGAUGCAUCCUGGGUUUGUCAUAGGUCCCCUGCUACAAUCUUCGUUUAAUCUCAGCACAGAAAUGUUUCUCAAUCUCAUAAAUGGUAGUCACAAGUAACUGAUAAAUUUAUUAUAUUGUUUAUUCUGAUGAGAUUAGGAUUGUUAUAAGUAAUUCCGUAAAUAGUACUUUUACACGAUUUGUGCUCAGUAAUUUGUCCUCAACUUAACAAGCAAAUGUCAAGAGGAUAUAUAUGUUGAUUCAUUUUAUAAUGGACAAAAGAUACGCAGGAUGGAACUUAUUAAACUGAUACAGACGGUGAUACAUGUGAUGGAAUUUAAUUCAAUGAAAUACACAAAUUUAUUGGAACCAUAUUUAUAACAAGAGGAGACUUACAAGUGAAGUUGUUCCCAUCUGAUGCUGAGAUAUUUGCUGCAGGAACUCACCCUCUUCCUGGCGCAAACUAUAGAUCUGUUGACGUAAGAGACGCUGCACGUGCACACAUUCAUGCCUUUGAGUCCCCUUCCGCUAAAGGCAGGUAUUGUCUUGUUCACAAAGUCGUGCAUUCUGACGAUGCUUUCAAGAUUUUUCAAAAGCCUUCUGUGCCAACCUAUAAAAUAUCAAAUGACAAAGCCAGAAGUCUGGGCAUCCGCUUCACUCCUCUGGAGGUGAGUUUUAAGGACACUGUGGAGAGCUUGAAAGAGAAGGGUUUCUUCAAGGACUGAUGCUGCAACAGGCAACUAAAAGAAUAAAAACCAUGCCAAAGUCGAUUAGAUGGGCAUUUUCUGCUGUAAUACACUUAUGACAGAGUUUUCUUCAGGAGAUCCGAAGUUUUCUAAUUGCUCACAGAAUAUGUACAAUGCCACCUGAAGCUUACUGAAGCAGCCAUUUUCAUUGUCAGACAAAUGUUUGGCUGUUAUCUGUAUUGAGUAACUUGAAAUCCAGGAGUUCACGUUUGCAUGGUAGUGAAACUCCAGCCUCCUGUGUCAAAGGGAAAAAAAAGACAAAAUGGCAAUAAAGCCGAUGAGUUUAACAGCCAAAAUUCUACGUGUAGUAAAGGUGCAAGUGAUGCAGUCAAUUGCAUUAAACAGGAAAUGUACUGGCCUGCUUUCCCAGGGCAAAAUGCCAAUCCAAUUGAGCAACUGGCACCACAGCAUUCACCUUACCCCCUCAUUCAAGAACACAGCGGAGCAGGGAGAUCUUCUCAUGUCUCCAUAGGCUCAUAGCCCCUCAAUUGACAACAUUACAGCGAUGCGAAAUGAAAUGGCUAAGAGUGCGGUGGCGGUAAACAAGGCAAGUUUCACGCACAUAUCUGUAAGUCAAAGAAAAACAGAAGCAUGUUUCCCUGGAUCAAAGGAAGAGAUGCUUAACUUCUUAAAUUUCCAUCACCUCUCUCGGUGAGGAAAUUGCUACGGUAUAAGUGCUCGACUUCCACAAGCUAUCCCAUUUCACCGGUUGUCUUUCCCAAAUCCAAUAGCAGAUUAUAUUUAGAUUUUCAAGUCGGCAAUCAUCGAUAAAAUUAUAGUUCCACCAUCCACAAACCCGUUAAAAGAUUACCGUGUAACUUAAAAUUUUAGAAGAGGAGUUUAACUAUCUGCAAAUUACCAAUGAAAAAAAAUAUUAUCACCCAAAAACUCCAUAGUAGAUUUACCGCUUGGAAAAAGCAAUCUGUGCGGUGUCGUUGGAGUCGCAUCGGAAGCAAUAUACUUAGUCCGCCUAUACGAGACAACCAGGGAAAGAGAAAGAAGAACACACGUGUAGUACCAGGAUGACGUGGCAUAUAUAUAUAUAUAUAUAUAUAUAUAUAUAUAUCUAUGAAGCCCAACCACAACUUGACACGUGUUCAUGACCUGGACAAACAUAGAAAAAGUAAAAAUCUAGCUGGAAUUUUUCGGUCUCUUCUCCCGUCUCCUCCAUCCGCAGUCGCCGGUGUACUCGCUGGUGCUGCUUCCAGGCCGACCACUGCGGUGCAUCCAUGGCCGAGCCACCCCUCCUUCGUUGGCGGCGGCUUACAAUCGUUGCCGUCCACGGGCGAGCCAUCCACUUCGUUGCAGCUCGUCCAUUCGGUCAACGGUGGACCUGUUAAUUUGAAGGCUCACUUCUGUGGAUCUGGGGAGUCGCCCGAUCUGUUAUUUUAGAGUUUGGGAGCCCCCAGAUCUGGCGGUGGACGAAGAAGAAGAUGAUCUUGCGGUGGCUUGGCCAUGGACCAUGGCUACUGAUCUGGCGACGGACGGGUAUGGCCGCGAGCAAUGAUGAAGGGGUGGCUCGGCUCAUGGACCUCCGCACAAAUGAGCCUGACUGCAACCACCGUCGAUGGAGGAGGAAGAAGAGAGAAAAGGGGAGGCCCACGUCAUGGACAUGUGUCGAUGCGCGAUUGGAUUUUAGCACACAUUGCUUGGCACCACAUCAGCCCAUGACGCCAUGACGUGGUGUUAUGCGACCAUUCAACACUUGCUCGAGACUUUCCUUGAGUAAUGCAUGACAGACGAUCUAUAUGUCUAAUUAGAAAACUGAUCACUCACGAUCAAGAAGAGUAGGUGGUCAUUUGUCCCAUUCAAUUUUUUCUAGGAACAUAUUUAAAACAAAGAGUGAACGUAAGUCCCUCGCACAAGCCGGUCAAAUAAAUGAUCAUGACAAAGUGUCGAGGUUGAAUAUAUCCCGAAUUCAUAAAAGAGAAUUCCCACUUAUAAAUGUAUUGCAAUCAGUAUCCCUCUCAUCCCCUGUUCCAAGGAGAAGAGAGGAGCGGAGAUGAGUACAGCAGAGAAGGUGGUGUGUGUAACUGGAGCGGCCGGUUACAUAGCCUCCUGGCUUGUCAAAGUGUUGCUUCAGCGUGGCUACACGGUCAAAGCAACUGUACGCAAUCCCAGUAAGUUUUUUAUCUUUGCUCAUGCUCCGUUGUUCACAAUAUUGGAUUUCUGAAUCUUUGGUUUGUCCAAUUUAGCAGUUGAACGGUUUACUCUUACUUAGUUGGAAACUUGAAAUGUUCUAGAUAAUAUGGAAGUGGUACCAAAAUCUGUUACUCAGUUAUGAUGAGAAAACUAUUCUCUUGUAAUAUCUCUUACCUUUGCAAUUAACUCAUACAUGCAUGUGUGUACUUGUUUGUAAGGGUUUGUGUGCAUGCCUAUACAUAUACGUUAUGCUCAGGGUACGUAUGAUACAAUAGCAUCCGAGUCCACUAGCUGAAGGUAUGAAGCUCUUGUAAUAUCUGAUUCCAUUGGCUUAACUAUUCAAGUUUGCACACAAUCUUAUGCUACCUCUAUAGUUAGAUCCAAUGCAUAGCGUACAUUAGAAAUUUAUAUUUGUGGUCUUCUUAUCUAUUGAUAACAUUUCGUGUUAAGUGACCAAAAGCUCCCAGAGUUUCAUUCCAUCAAAUCAAAUUCUCCUUUUUUGAAUGCAUAAGCAGGUGAUCCAAAGAAGACACAGCACCUUCUGGAACUUGGAGGGGCUAAGGAGAGACUACAUAUCUUCAAAGGAGAAUUGCAGGAGGAAGGGUCUUUUGACUCAAUAGUUGAUGGGUGCGAGGCUGUCUUUCAUACAGCAUCACCGGUUUUUUUCUCAGCUUCCAACCCUGAGGUAUCUGCAUAUUGCAGUUGUACAUCAUGAUUUCAUGGAUUUGUUAAAUGUAAAGCAUCACAUCUUUCAAAUUCUAGUUCUUUUUCCCUUGUCGUCUGGUGCAGUUUAUCAGACGGCAAAUGAUCUAACAUUUCUUGGAUGAUUCGACAAAACCAUUCUAAUCAGAUUCCUUUCCUUACAUGCCGCAGGCUGAAAUAGUCAAUCCUGCAGUUGAAGGUACCCUAAAUGUUCUCAGAUCAUGUGCAAAGGUCCCUUCUAUCAAGAGAGUGGUUUUGACAUCCUCCAUGGCUGCGGUUGUGUGCAAUGGGAAGCCUUUGACCUCUGAUGUGGUAGUUGAUGAGACAUGGUUCUCCGAUCCAGCAUUCUGUAAGGAAUCAAAGGUCUGUAAGUAAGCUGGCUUUUGACAGUAGAAUCUCUUUUGCUUGGUCUGUGAUGCCCCAUCAACUGGAUGAAUUUUUCCAAUAAAAAAUCGUCAAUAGAUUUGAUUUUGGCUAGUAUUCAAGCUUGAUUCGUGUUAAUUUAAUUGAAUACUUGAGGCUGAACAUAGCUUAAUCUUAGUGGCCAAGCAGUCAAGAGGUAUCAUCUUCCUUGCCUUAAUGGUUUUUCCAUCCACCUAUCUGUUUAAGCCCUCAACCUUCAAGCAUGUUCGUUUGUUUGCCCAUAUUUGGCCAAUGUAAGAUACACAAGUUGGGUGCUUUGCCUCACUGAAUACCUCUAUAUGACAAUUAGAUUUUUGUGAUGGACAACUUUUAAAGAAUUUCUUUUCUAGUGCUCCUCAUCCAUUGCUUUGAAAUGUCAAACAAGGCAGAGCAAAUUCAGUGUCAUGUCGAUGAUGAUCACAUCCAUCAGUGGUGCGAGCUCUUUCACUCUUUCAUCGCCUGACUUCGGUUUAAUUAUUUUCAGCUUUGGUAUGUGCUAUCUAAAACCUUAGCAGAGAAGGCAGCUUGGGAUUUUGCAAGAGAGAAUAGGAUGGACCUGGUCGUGAUAAACCCUGGACAUGUGAUUGGCCCUCUCUUGCAGUCUACCAUCAAUCUCUCUAUGGAGAUGAUACUGAACCUCGUCAAUGGUAUUACUUAAAAGUCAAUGCUUGACAUGUCUAUUAUCAUUGUGUCAGCAUUUUGGAUCUCAUUUUUUGUCUGAUAUUGACCAUUGAUAUUUUGCAAAUGACUAAGGACCUGUCGCCAAAUUUCUCCGCAAGAUAGAGAUGCAACUGCACAUGGAAACUUAUUUUCCUGCCAAAGUGCACUCUGCUCCUGUGAUUACAGAGAGAAUGAUUUGAGGCUUAUACAAUGCAGGAGCUCAAACAUUUCCCAACAUCUCUUACAAAUUUGUUGAUGUCAGAGAUGUGGCCCAUGCACAUAUUCUAGCUCUUGAAAAUCCUUCAGCUAGCGGCAGAUAUUGUAUGGCAGGAGAGGCAAUACAUUGUCAAGGCGUUUUGAAGAUCCUGCACGACUUUUAUCCUACACUGCACCUCCCUGAAAAGUAAGCCCCCAUAUUUCUUCAAUUUCUAAAGAGAAGAGUUACAUUUUAUGAGCAUCCCUAGAAGGAAUCCUAUCUACUGAACAUUGACAUUAUUAAAGGUGCAUGAAUCAUUGUUGAUGCAGAUGUGAAAAUGACAAACCAUACGAGUCGGCUCCUCGGGUGUCAAUCAAGGGAGCAGAUUGAAGGUCUGGGUGUGAAGUUCAUUCCUUCGGAGGUCAGUCUAAGAGACACUGUGGAAAGCCUCAAGGAGAAAGGCUUCCUCUCUGUUUGAGUUUCCUGACAAGUGACAAGGAAAACCCUAUACUCCAAAGGCAUAUAUAUGGUUUCCACGAACUUAUAGUCAUAAAAAGUUUCUGCAUAAAUUUAACGCUUCCCUUUUAUUAGACUCCAUUGAAGCAUGCAUAAUGUCUUAGAGUCACUUGCUCAGUGUAAAUUUAAACUUGAAAGCUGAUUAUGAACGUUGUUUAUUGGAGUAGUUUUCUGCUUUUGCCACUGAUUUCUAUUCCUGGCUUCAUGUGCGACUACUUUUAACAACCUGAGGUUUUGUAUGUAAGUUGAGGUGAAGCAAUGCCCAGUGUUUGUUCUGGGGCAGAAAGGCAACCUCUAACAUGGAUAAUGAGGAAUCCUGAGAACCAUUCAUAGUUAGACAAAAAUCCAAAAGAAUGGCUGGGAAAAUAAAUUAUUGAUUAUUCCCAUAUUCUUUUGGAGAUUCUCAUUAAUCAACUCCUACAACGGAUCAAAUGAUGAAUGACUAAUAAUAGGGCCACUAAUCUCUAUACUAAUUUCUGGCCGCUGCUCCACCAUAAUCGAUCACAGUAAAGCUGCACUUUAGUUUCUGGCGUGGUGCACAAUGAUCAAAUUUAAUUUUAUUGAAGGCCCUGACACCAGGAUUCGGGUAAUUUGCUUUAAUAUCAAAAUUUUAAUAUAAAGGGCAUCCCAGUGCACAAGGCUAUACUGAUUUGCAACUCAUCGUCUCUUUCCAUCUUUCUGAAGUUACCAUACUUACUUUCCCAUUUCUUGAAUUGAAAUGAACAAAACUUUCCAUAUAGAACUUUACGCAACACAUACGUACUGAUCCUCACUCUCACCAAACGCAAACAGAAGACCAGUGCGAACCAGAUCAAAUCUGUUGGCUUUUAAUUGGGUAAAGUUGAUCAUUGCCAUUCAAGAUGAAACAGCUCCUAUGAUUGUGAAUUAAAUAUCAACUUGAUGCAGGACUUAGCUUUCUUUUCUUUUCUUUUCUUUUUCUUUUUUUUUGUGCCCCUGAAAAGCAAUCUUAUAUAGCUCAUCUUUUCCUUUGGUAAAAGAAGAAAACAUCUUCAUGAAAUUGACUUGCAUUGAGCCAUGCAACGCUUGACAUAUGAAUAAGAGUUGGGGAUUCAUCAAAGUUUCCUCAUCUAGCUUUUGUGGAAAAAUAAAAGAAUUUGUCAAUGCCUCAUACAAGAUUGUUAGACUAACAAAUUUGAAACACUUGCAGAACUAAAGAUUUUCUAAACUUAGUAAAGAGAAUCUUUUUUGCCUUUAAUAUGAAUUGCUCUCCGCAUACUCUCUUCCAAGCCCCUGUUCAAGAUUCAAUGCCAAAAAGAGGAGUAGAGGAUGGAUGAGUACCACAACAAAGGUCGGAUGCAUAACUGAAGUGUCCGGUUACAUAGCAUCCUGGCUUGUCAAGUUGUUGCUCCACCUUGACUAUAUGGUGAAAGCAACUGUUUGCAAUCCCAAUAAGUUUAUGCAACUUUAUGUUCAUGCUCUAAUCUUCAGAAUCUUGAACCUUUUGAAUAUUCAGUCUGUUCAUUUUAGUAUUAGUAUGGUUUGCAAUUUCUUAGUUGAAACAUUUUAGACGAUACAAAAUGUGUAACAAAAUCUUCAUAACAUGAAUCUGUUCUUUCCUAAUCAUCUCUUACCUUUUGGAUAAACUCAGACAUGUAAUAUCCAAGUGUUAUUUGUGGGCAGUUGUGUGCACGCGUAUGCAUAUGCCUGCUUGCCUUUGGGGUUUCAGGUUGCCUAUUACAUUAAGUCGUCCAGAUUUAAUUGCCUGAAAAUUAGAUCUCUUGCAGUACGAUCAUAUGUGACCACUUGAGCAAAUCAAAUACAGAGCCAACAUCAUAACUUGAUAAUUGCAGUCUAGUGACUGAGAGUUACAGCAAUUUGGAUCAGCCAAAUUAAAUCUUGUUCUUGCAUGUGCAAUUAAACUUAUGAUUCAAAGAAGACAUGAUUUCUUCUAGCCCUCAAAGGGGCUAAGGAGAGAGUACAUUUAUUUAAAGCAGAAUUGCUGGAAGAAGUGUAAUUCGACUUGAUAGUUGAUGGGUGCGAAGCUGUUUUAUAUACAGCAUCACCGGUGAUUUUCUCAGUGGCUGACCCCCGGGCGUCUGUAUCUUGCUGUUAUCCGUCAUUUCUCUACAUCUUCAGUAUUGUAUCUGCAAAAUUCUAGUUCGUUUCAACUUGUCCUUUGUAUGUGCAGUUAAUCAAAUGGCAAAUGAUAUAAUAUUUCUAAGGUAAUUCAACAUAAAUUUAUCUGAUGGGCUUCUAAUCUUAUUACCGACUGAAAUAGUAGAUACUGCAGCCAGGGGGACCCUAAAUGUUCUCAAAUCAUGUGCAAAAGUCCCUUCAAUCAAGAGAGUGGUUGUGACAUUCUCCAUGGCCUCGCUUGUCUGCAGUAGAAAAUUCCUGACCUCUUUGGUAAUUGAUGAGACAGGGUCUCCGAUCCGGUUUUAUGUGAGGAACCGAAGGCCAGUAAGUAGACUGUUCUUUUCGACAUUGUUGGUCUCUUUUGCUUGGUCUGUCAUACCCUACACGAUCUUCAACACUUUUUUUUUCCUAGUUGGAAAAUUGCCAACAUAUUGAUUUUUACAUGAUUUGGAACACGAGCUGAUGCUAUAAAAUAUCGACGCCAAACAUAUUCACUCGAUGGCUUGAAUUGAAUCACUGUAGUGCCGAGCGGUCGAGAAAUGCUUCUCCCUUGCCUUAAGGGUGUGUUGUUUACCUAUUUGAUUAAAUCCUCAACCUUCUUGCAUAUGAACGUGCUCCCAUGUAUUAUUCUGAUAUAGGCACAUAACUAAAAAGGUUCUCAUUAUUUAAGACCUCUGUACGACCCUAAAAUUUUAGUUACCCAUAUCUCUUUAAGUGGUAGUUCUAGAAUCCCAGAUGAGGCAGCAUCGUCAAGUUGACGUCGGUUAUUUUUGUGAUAAGCGCAUGAGUUCUUUCCUUGCAUUAAUAUGGUCUUUCUAUUUUCAGCUUUGGUAUGUGCUUUCUAAAACCUUAGCAGAGGUGCCGGCUUGAAAUUGCUAAAGAGCACAAAGAUUGACCCGUCAUGAUAAAGUCAGGACACGUGAUUUGUCCUCGAUUAGAACUGGAUAACUUCAUGCCAUACGUGACUGUGACAUUAUAGGCAUAUAUGCACUACUAAGAUUUAUCCUCUACAACAACCUACAAGUGAUUGGCAUUCACAGUUUUGUUUUCUGCUUAUAGGUUUACAUUUUUAAGUCAGUUAUCUUGGUAGUGCUCUCACUUGAGCACUCUUAAUAAUGUGAGUUUCAAUGCUAAACGUUCUCAUUUGGGUAAAGUUACCAAUAAUUCUAUUUACAGUUCUGUUCGUUCCUGCCCGUGCGAGACCCCGGUAAACUUGACUGCCGCUCCUUAUCCUGGCCUCCUUUGAUCAGACCUGAUCUUUACAGGGUCACCAUCUUUAUAGAAGGCACGGCCACCAGGAUAAGGGUACGCUGCUUAUCUCUCACCCAUCGCUCACAGAAGAUCAGUGCGAAUUGCAAAAUUUAGCUGCUAAUUAGAGAAGAAGAAGAAGAAGAUGAGCACGAGAGAGGAGAAGCAGAAAGUGGUGUGUGUGACUGGAGGGGCAGGUUACAUAGCUUCUUGGGUGGUCAAGCUCUUGCUUCAGCGUGGCUACACUGUUAAAGCCACCAUGCGAGACCCAAGUAAGCUUGCCAUCUCUAUUCUCUCGAUAUCUUCUCUAUCAGUGUUUUCGUGCUCCUGCGCCCUUCAAAUUACGGAUAAAACCAUGCGGUGGAAACGGCUAGAAUCGUCCUCGAUGAAAUAAAUGUUAUCGGGACCCAUUAUUUUUUUUCAGUUAUAUUUCUUUUCUUGGUAAUUCUAUUUAAUGUUUUCUACGAGAUACUAGGCCAUGUUUCAUCCAUUGGGACACCAUGUAGAUUUCACUAAGUAUGCGGGGCGCCUUAUUGAAAUUUUAGAGUCUAAAGCUCUUGAUUUCUUCAUUCUCAUUUCGGCACUACGAAAACACAAUCUAGCAGCUAAAAUCUACCAUUAGAUCUCCACGAAUCAACUAAAUGAUGCAAGUAAAGUCAUUAAUUACCUCUUGAGCCAGAGCAAGUUCAUCCAAGAAUGAUGUAACUUAUCUUUUUCUGCCCAUUUGGCCAUAGAUGAAGCGAUUUUAAUAGUAUGUCAAUGAGGGUGACCACUAGAAUUCUGGAUUCCAACCCCUUAAAUGAGUAAUUUUCAUUCUUGUUUGUGUGUUACAGAUGACCCAAAGAAGACAGAACACCUUCUGGCACUUGAAGGGGCUAAGGAGAGACUGCAAUUAUUUAAAGCGGACUUGCUGGAAGAAGGGUCCUUUGACUCAGUAGUCAAUGGGUGCAUAGGCGUUUUUCAUACUGCAUCACCUGUCUUGCUCUCAGUUGCUGACCCCCAGGUACUUGUAUCUUGUCGGUUCAGUCAUCCUUCGUGCCUUAUACUCGUCUCUGUUGCAAUGUUGUCCUUGGCUUUUACAUAACCUGCUUACAUUUCACUCCAUUCCAUUAUCCAUGUAUAGGGGACUUCUCUAAUGAUCUUGCUUGUGCUCCAGCAAUCAGUUUCUAGUGAUCCGACACAAGGAGUUUCAAUUUUUUCUGAUAGUUCCGAUAGGUUCUGUUCUGAAUGAUUUUGUUUUCUCUUGCUUAAUUUAGGCUGAAUUAAUUGAUCCUGCCCUAAAAGGCACCCUUAAUGUUUUGCGGUCAUGUGCCAAAGUCUCUUCUAUCAAGAGAGUGGUGGUGACAUCUUCUAUUGCUACAGUCUCAUAUAUUGCAAAGCCUCUGAUGUCUGGUGAUCUAGUUGAUGAGACUUGGUUUUCAGAUCCAGACUUUUGUGAGAAAUCUAAGGUUGGUUGUCUGUAAUUUCUUCACAAUACUGGUAAUCUUGGAAUUCCUUUGAUUAUGUUUUGAUUAUGUUGAACCCAGUCCAUGUCGUGUCAAAGGUAACUGAGCUGAGGCAAAAGAUACUUAACAUUAUAAGUUUGGUUUUUCCUUGUUCAGCUUUGGUAUGUUCUCUCAAAAAUCUUGGCAGAGAAGGCGGCCUGGGAAUCGGCAAAGGAGAAUGAGAUUGACUUGGUCACGAUUAACCCAGGAAUUGUCAUUGGCCCUUUGCUGCAGCCCACUGUUAAUCUCAGUGUGGAGAUGAUACUGAACUUUGUUAAUGGUAUGGAUGUAUGACUAUUUUGCUAUUCCGCGUGGACUUACUCCUUUUUGGUUCUUGAAAAGUUAGUCUGAUGAUCCUAUGUUCAAAUUCUUAUGACUCUGGCAAAUAGUCUGAUCCAUGAUAGGUACGUCUGGUUUGCAAUUAAAGUAGGAGGGCAGUUGCGCUUUACAUAUUACACAAUACACAUGGUGCAUGUGUCUUCUUACAUAUAAACUAAUGGCAUUCAUUGAUGAGACCUUUUCCCACGCAUUUUGAUUGUAAGUUUCCAAGUCUGGAACAGAGAAAUGAAAAUUCUGAUAAGUAUCCGCUAUAAAUUGUAUGUCGAUGUCGAAAAUAACUUAACGCUUAUCGUGCAGGAGCUCAAACAUUUCCAAAUGAAUGUUAUUGUUUUGCCGAUGUCAGAGAUGUAGCGAAUGCACAUGUUCUAGCUUUUGAAAAUCCCUCAGCUUGCGGAAGAUACUGUGUAGUAGGAGAAGUCAUGCAUUGUCAUGACGCCUUGAAAAUUUUGCAGAAUCUGUACCCAACAUUGCACCUUCCUGAUAAGUAAGUUCUUUUUUCUGUAAUUACUCUUCCUUAUUUCCAACUCGUCUGCUGCUUGACUGUGGGCCAUUCAAAACAGCCUGUGAAGGAUUAGCACGCUUUUUUCCUCUGAGAAAAUACAUGAUGGGCCUUGUUGGUUGGAACGAAGUAGAGGGACUGCACUGAUUACGAUGAAAUUGGAGAUUUAAUAGCAAUAAACUUACUGAGGUCAUUGAAUAUCAGUUCAGGACUGACAAGAAAAAUUUGCAGCUUCAGGACAUUCCAUACAAGGUAAUUAAAUGUAACAUGGACUACAUAGUGAUUCAAAGCAUCGGAAGGAAUCUUCGUGUUCGUUUAUUAGUCUGUUCAAUAGAAAAAUGUGCGACAAGGUCAAACUUGGAGUAUCACCAGUUUAACUAAGUGAACAUUCAACGCCCAUUUAUAUCACAAGACCUUGAUCGUAACAUUCUUGAUCAGUUACUACCAAUUUCAAAAGUGGGUGUAAAUGCCAUCUUGUUUGUUUAGUAACAAAAGCCCGUCUGAGACAGCCACUGGAUUCCAUGUGACUGAUCUUCUCAAGAUGUCUAGGAGAAUCACACUUUGUUUGUCCAAUGAUGCAGAUGCGAAGAUGACAAACCUUUCGCACCGAAGUAUGAAUACUCAAGAGAGAAGGCGGAAGCUCUGGGUGUCGAAUUCACUCCUUUAGAGAUCAGUCUAAGAGACACCAUUGAAUCUUUACGGGAGAAGGGGUUCAUCUCGGUCUAGGCACCUGCUUAAAAACAGCACGACACUAGCUGAUAAUUCGGGGUUCCUUGCUUUACGAAACAAGUUUUACCGGUUGAAGUUUCUUCACGCGAUUUGUAGUCCGAUAUGACUUACAACUAGAAGUGUACAUUAUCUGCAGAAAUCUCUAAAGACCUGCAUCUUCUUGGGGUAAUAUUGCGAAUGAACAAGUUGAGCUAGCAUUUUAUUGGACGCCCUCAUCUCCGGUGUACUCCAUUAGACGCUACGUGGAAGAAAAAGAUGAUACAUACCAUUUAAAACCAGAUCAGAUACUCAGAAACCAAGGAUUUACAAAGGAAAUGAAGUAUUUCUUUUCCACGAGAAAGACAUAUGGGAAGACGAGAGAAAAUUGAAGAGAGGAAUCCAUUGGCCAAGGACAAAGGGAGAUUCCGCACCACUCGCUCCACGUUUGCCUCGUCCUUGUUAUGAAUCUUGCCGAGAAACGCGCAUGGCAACGCUGAAAGUAGUAUUCCUUUUGCUUGCCUUCCUUUUGAAAACAUUGUGUUGUUUCCUUAUUUAGUACAUAACCUUUUAUGUGUUUCAUUAGUGUUAUAAAACUUGUUGCGCAGAAUUCUAAUAUUUCGUUGCCAAAUAAAAAACAACUUUCCAUGCAUGGUGAUCUUAUGAUAUGAUUAGUGAUCUUUAUAUCUUAUUGUAAAGUAGUGUAACCGACUGUUUGUUGGUCAAAUGCACUAACGGUGAUUUACCAAAAUGUUGACAAUUUACCAAUAAUAAAUACAAUAAUACAUUAUCAACCUUCUCUUUUUUUUCACUAGGUUAUCACUCUAAACAAAAAAUUCAAAUGCGAAAUUAGUGACUUCCUACUGAAAUUGCAAGGUAGUAAGUUCCUAGCAGAGUGAAGAAUUUAUUGACUUCAAAUGAAAUGCAAGUUAUCAUUAUUUUGACGAGCUCGCCGGGCCUCGCCAAUAGGUCAAUAACUAUUGGGUCACAAAUGUAAAACUUAGCCCGCUUUUACCAUAGCAAGUUAUCAUCUUAGAAAUUUUCCGCUUAGUAGAUGGAUCCGCUUGUAAAAUUUGAAAGUAUUUGAUAAUUCAUUAGUUGAUACGAGUCAUGACAUCAUUAUUGAAACGAAUAAUAGUUUAUUACAUGGGGCUAAAUUGAAACAAAUCUUUUCUGUAGGCAUGGCAUCCGAAGACAUUUCCUUGAAACGUAGCUGUCUUAGACAAGUUGCCUUUGAGUCAGGCAUGACACAAGUGAUCGGAUAUUUCUAUCGGCGCCCAACCCCUGUGGUCUAGAAUAGGUGAUCGUUCAAAGUUUCUCCAUCUAUCUUCUCUGAUUGAAGGAUUUAAGUUGGCGAGACAUGUGAAGGUUGAAAAUUAUUCAAGUUGAACAUUAUCUGAAAGCAAUCAUAGAUGAUUUUUUUCCUUAUAUAUACCAGUAGAAGAUUCAGCUCCAAGGAUAGGAGAGGAGAGGGAAAAUGAGCACGACAGAGAAGGUGGUUUGUGUAACCGGAGGGGCUGGUUACAUAGCAUCAUGGCUCAUCAACUUGCUGCUUCACAGGGGCUAUACAGUCAAAGCGACCAUCCGCAACACCAGUAAGUUCAUCGUUUCAUCUUCGUGUCUUGUUCUUAAUUUUUUUUUUUUUUUUUUUUGGAUUCUUGGGUGGUGCACUCUAUUCUUAGAGAAUGAUUCACAGUUUCUUAGUCGAAUCAUUCGGAUGCAUGGACUUUGUACCAAAUUCCGUUUUUAUCAGAAAGUGUGCUUUUCUAAUCGUCUCUUCCCAUUUCGAUUCACUCGCAUAUGCGUGUAUUUAUUUGGAAGUGCAUAAGUGCAUGUGUACGCAUAUACUGAUUUGUCUAUGUGCUUUUGGAGCUAUGGCAAUAUAACAUGUUCGAGUUCGCUGCCUAAAGAAUUAAUCCCUUGCAAUAUUCGAAUCCAUUAUGUCUUAAUCCUGGUUUUUUAUAGAUGUGGAUAUGUUGCAACUCAGGUCAAGAUCAAGUACUAGCAUGUUUCAUGAUUCAUAACUUGAUGUCAUUCUAUAUGAAGGAACUUAGAUUGUGAUCUAUCAGAUCUAAUUCUGCAUUCUGGCAUGUGUAUAUAAGCAGAUGAUUCACAGAAGACACAACAUCUUCUGGCACUUGGAGGGGCCAAGGAGAGGCUCCAUUUGUUUAAAGCAGAUUUGCUAGAAGAAGGGUCCUUUGACUCGAUACUCGAUGGGUGCGGAGCUGUUUUUCAUACAGCAUCACCUGUGGUUUUCUCGGCUUCGGAUCCCCAGGUGUCUGCACAUAUCAGUUCCUUCCGCUUUGUACUGUAGAUUCAUACGAUAGAUGAUCUGAUAUUACUUGGGUGAUUUGGCAAAAUCGUACUGAUGACCUCCUUCAUGUUGCAGGCUGAAAUAGUGGAUCCAGCUGUCAGAGGCACCUCAAACGUUCUCAAAUCAUGUGCAAAAGUCCCUUCUAUCAACCGAGUGGUAGUGACCUCCUCCAUGGCUGCAGUAGUGUUCAAUGGAAAACCUCUGACCUCUGGUGUGGUGGUUGAUGAAACAUGGUUCUCUGAUCCGGUUUUCUGCGAGGAAUCAAAGGUAGUAAGAUGCUUUUCUUGAUAUUGUUGGUCUCUUUUGCUUGGUCCGCUGUCUGUGAGUUCGUUCAUCGCAUUGUUGUGUCUGCUAUUUUCAGCUUUGGUAUGUGCUCUCCAAAACCUUGGCGGAGAAGGCUGCUUGGGAAUUUGCUAAAGAGAAGAGGAUCGACCUGGUCGUGAUGAACCCAGGACAUGUGAUUGGAACCUUUUGCAGCCUACAGUCAAUCUCUCGGUGGAAUUGAUAUUGAACUUUGUCAACGGUAUUACUUGAUGGUUUCUAUGUCACACGUACUAUUUUUCAUGAGAUGAUUCAUUCUUUUACACAUCAUGUCAGCAUUUGGCAUCUCUUUUAAAUUCUGAGAUUGACCAUGGGAGGGUUGAUUCAGUGUCAUAAUUGCAUAAUUACAUGCAGUCGAUUUCCAUGUGCAAGAAAAAACACGGUUGCUCAAGGAAAUUGAUUUUUGAUUAAAAAUGGCGUUAGCAGUGGGAAUAAUCGAUACAUGUAUGAUGUAGGAACUGAAGAAUUUCCCAAUGCAUCCUACGGAUUUGUUGAUGUCCAAGACGUCGCACUAGCACAUAUUCAAGCUCUCGAAAACCCUUCAGCCAGCGGCAGAUAUUGCGUAGUUGGAGGAGUAAUGCACUAUCCGGACAUGUCGAAGAUCUUGCACCAUCUCUAUCCCACAUUGCGCCUCCCAGAAAAGUAAGUUCCCGUUUUUGUUCAACUCCAUAGAUUAAAAGGUAACUUUUUUUCUCUUAAGAGCAAGUCGAGAAAUGGUCUUAUGGCGAGCAUAUACACUAACGUUAACCGAUGCUGCACGAAUCAUGCAUUUUGAACACAGAUGUGAAGACAACAAGCCUGCUGUGGCGGCUCAUCGGAUAUCAAGGGAAAAAGUAGAAGGUUUGGGUGUGAAUUUCAUACCUCUGGAGGUUAGCAUAAAAGAUACUGUUGAAAGCCUCAAGUAGAAAACUUUCCUCUCUUUUUGAGCUUUUUCUUCGGAGGUCGGCCUAAGUGACAUCAUUGGAGCCUCAAGGGCGAAGGCGGAAUCUCUCUAUUUGAGCUAGCUUUUCUCGAUCGACAACGCUGACCUCAUAGUCAUACUUAAAAGGUUGUUGAUAACGUAUUGUAUAUUUCAUAUAGUUAUCGUGGUCGGACCAUGUAUGGUCUCUUACUCUUGUUGAAUAGAGCAUUCCAUCUCUAAACUUGAAAGACGAUGCAAUGCUGAAUGUCUAUCCUAUAGUUAUUGUAUGCGAAUUUGCUUUAAUAUUCAAUAACAAUAUUAGGAUAAUCGAGUGUGAUAAUAUUGAAAAUAAUUUAUUGAAAAAAUCAAGAGAAUUGAAGGGCUCAAUAUAUUCAAGAAAAAGUCCAACCAAAAAAAAAACAUAAAUUAAGGGAUCAAAUAUGGUUUAUCCCAAAUCAAGAAUUAGAUAAGUACAACUACUCAGGGUGCGUUUGGCUGGCACCUAUUUCUGUUCCCAGGAACAGAAAUUUCUGUUUUUUUGUUCCUGGGAACAAAAAAGGAACAGAAACGCGUUUGGGUGCGUUUCUGUUCCUUUUUGUUCUUUUGUUCCCAGAAACAAAAAGGGAACAGAAAUAAGAAACAAAAAAUUCUUGUUUCUUAUUUCUGAAACAUAUUUGAGGAACAAAAAAGAAACAAAAUGGUGUUCUCUUGCGACCCUCUCCUCCUGCAAGCGUCUCCACCGUCGUCUUCUCCGGCGCCUCCCACUCUCCGGCGCCGACAGCCGCCUCUGUCUUGAGACCAUCCGGCUUCUCCACCAUCGACCUCUCCGGCACCGACAGCCGCUGCAAGCGUCUCCACCUGUGAGCGAGUGACGUAGCUGGGUCGUGGGUCGCUGGGCGGCGACGGUGGCUGCGGUGCUGGGCUCGGCCGUGGGGUCUCGAGCGGCGGACGUCUACGAGCAGAGCGGCGAGGACUGCCGGUCGAGUCGUGGGCCGGCGCGAGGUCAACGAUCGAGCGGAUCUCGAAGUCGUGGGUCACGGUGCGGUGAGAUCUGAUGCGGCGGUGGCGAACGAAGGCUCGAGACCUGCAGAUGCGUCGAUCGGGCGUGAGGCGGAGGGGCGGUCGCCGAUGCGGUGGCGGCGAGGAGGCGUCGAGCGCGGUCGCCAAUGCGGUGGAGGGAGACGACGGUGUGGCUCUAGGUCACCGUCGGCACGGCGCGGCGAGGCCGACCUCGCGCCUGGCUGGGCGAGCUCGAUCUCGCCCAGAUCCGGCGAGGCCGAGCUCGCCCAGCGGCCGGCGAGCCUCGUCGUGGCUGGGCGAGGCCGCCGGCGACCGGCCAAAAGAAGAAAAAAGGAAAAAGCAAAAAGGAAAAAGGAAAAAGAAAAAAAGGAAAAAUAAAUAAGAAAAAUAAGAAAGAAAAUAGAAAAUAAAAAUAAAAAUAUUAAAAAAUUAAAAGAAAUAAAAAAAUUAUACAAACUUACCCAAUGUGUUUCUGUUCUUUUUAUAUUUCUAAAAUGAAUUUACCAAACGCAUUUUUUUGUUUAAAAAUUGUUCCUUAGAAUAGAAACACUUUUUUUUUAUUUCUGUUCCCAGAAAUAAUUUUUAAACAGAAACGUUACCAAACGCACUUUUAAUAUCUCAAAGCUUAAAGUAAAGCUACUCAAGAGGAGUUGGAAGAGUUCCUCUUGAACUUGGGCGCCGCCCCAGGACAAUGGAAAGCGAUACGAACCUUUCGGCUCAAAGAAAAGUCGAAACGAAAUGUAAUUAUUACCAAGUAAUGUCACGUACGUAAUGGCUUACGAGUUGCGAGAAGGCGUCUAUCGUCAACCAGGAGCGACAAAAAAUGGGUUUGGAUUAUCUUUAAAGAUUCGGCAGAACAUCGGGCUCUUUAUAAUAUAAUAAGGUCCAUCUGCUGCUCCGCCACCCACUCCAGCACUCGUUCACUCUCUCCCCCGAACCACGAGAGAGGAGACCAGCGCGCGCGCGAACUCCACACGGUUCAGGUGCCAAGAACGGAGGAGAUGAGUGGAGCAGAGAAGGUGGUGGGCGUGAUCGGAGGGUCGGGUUACAUAGCUUCUUGGCUGGUCAAGCUCUUGCUCCUCCGUGGCUACACUGUUCGAGCCACUGUCCGAGACCCAUGUAAGAAAAAUGUUCCCUUUCUUUAUACUCUCUCUCUCUCUCUGCUCUGCUGUUGGAAGAAAAAAAACAGAGCUGUUGAAAUCCGAUAACCCACAUGAAGUUGUGUCCAAACCCUUUGUCAGAGUGAAACCAUCAAAGCUAUUUUUUUCUCUGAGAGAUAGAAGAAUUUUGGUAGCUUCAUUAGUUUUGUGUUGUAGAUUGCCCUCUAAUAUAUGUAUCUAUCCAAUAAAGUUCAAAUCUUUUGCAUCCUGUUCGACUUUGUUGAAGAAGUGGCACGCUCAAACCAUCGUCUAGAUUCCGGAUUCUUGAUUUAUUUAUUUUCAGUAUCAGUUUUGCGCAAGUUUCUCCGGGAACAAUACGGCUCUUCUUGUCCCGCCUAUGCCCUUUCUGAUUGUAGAUGCUACUGAUGUGUCGGUGAGGGUGCUUGCAAGUUUUAGAAUUUCAAUCAGUUAAAUGGAGAAUUUUUCUCAUUCUUGUGCAUGUGCGACAGCCGACCCAAAGAAGACAGGACACCUUCUGGCACUGGAGGGGGCAAAGGAGAGGCUGCAUUUAUUCAAAGCAGAAUUGCUGGAAGAAGGGUCCUUUGACUCGGUAGUCGAUGGAUGCGAAUGUGUUUUUCACACUGCAUCGCCUGUUUUGUUCUCAGCUGCUGACCCCCAGGUGCUUGAAUCUUGCCACGUUAAUCAUCCAACGUUGUCCUUGUUUUCCUAAAUAAGUAGAUAGCUCAUGGACAAACCAUUCCAUUCCAUGUGGAAGGGGAUUUGCUUUUCUUCUGCCACAAUGAGUUCAGUUUCGGUUUUCUGAUACUUUAUGAGAAUUUUACCGAAUGAUUUCUUCUAUUGCAUGACUCAGGCUGAAUUGAUUGAUCCUGCCCUAAAAGGCACCCUUAAUGUUCUAAGAUCAUGCGCCAAAGCCUCUUCUAUCAAGAGAGUAGUUGUGACGUCCUCUAUGACUGCAGUUUUAUUCAGUGCAAAACCUCUGACUUCGGGCAUUGUCAUUGAUGAGACUUGGCAUUCAGAUCCAGAAUUUUGCGAGAAAUCCAAGGUUUGUAUAUCAAAAUUUCCUGACAAUAUUGCUGUUCAUUUCUUUCACUUGUGAAAUUUUAGUGUUGAAUUACAUUCAGAGUUCCUGUUACAUGGUGAAACUGGUAAAAUGCUGAUUCUGAGAGGAGUUGGGACAUCAGGGAACAUUUCUCUCUUAAAUCACAUAGCUUUCACUAGACACUUUUUACGGAUACCCAAACCAAGGAGUGCCUGUCUCAUCACUUACAGUUGUUUGUGUUACUCUUGCAAUUUGGCCUGGCGCCAUGUUAGAUGCUACAUAUGCUUAUUGAAUACAACAGUUUCUCUAUACUUUACUUGCUGGAGGAGAACUACUUAUCUUUCGUUUCUUUUAGCCGGUAAUCUCCGAAUGCCUUGGAUGACAUCGAAUGAAGUCAAUGUCAUGGCAAUGGUUAUUAUAUGUGUUGAAUGAGGCGAAACAUUCUAACAGUCUCUUUGGCUUAUCUAUCUUCAGCUCUGGUAUAUGCUUUCAAAAACCUUAGCAGAGAAGGCAGCUUGGGAAUUCGCCAAAGAGAAAGGAAUUGACCUUGUCACGAUAAACCCAGGAUAUGUGAUCGGCCCUAUCUUGCAGCCCACUGUUAAUCUCACUGUGCAGACAAUACUGAACUUCAUUAAUGGUAUCACUAUCAUCUAGCCAUAAAUUAUGUUUGUUAUUGAAUCUUUGCCAUUUUAUUUCAGAGCGUCUUCAUCAAACAUUUGUGCAUGCUUUUUCUCAUUACCCAAAAGACAAUCUCAAGGAGUAACUAUAGAACUAUGUUUCUGAUUAAAGACGAUCUCAAUGAAGUCAUAUGCCCUUAACCAUACUUAUGAGUUAUGGGCGCAUGUGUCUCAGAAUGUAUUUCUGCAUUGGUCCAUGGAAUAGCUAUCCUUCUUUGCUAGAUAACUGAAUUUGGCAACAUGAGGUCCCGAGGCCCUUUCAUUCUAUCUACUGAAUCUGUCUUAUGUAUUUAAGGGUUUGCUUAAUUGGCUGCACAGACACUAUUAUAAUCAUUUCUGGUAGAUUUCCAUGUGCGACAUGGUUUUCAACUACUGGCAGUGGCAGCAUUUGGUACAAAGUUGUCUUGACGUUUGCAUGGGAGUAAUUGAGGCUUAUCCUGCAGGAGCUCAAACAUUUCCAAAUACAUGCUAUAGAUUUGUUGAUGUUAGAGACGUCACACUCGCACAUAUCCUAGCUUUUGAAAAUCAUUCAGCUCAUGGAAGAUAUUGCGUAGUAGGCGAAGUUAUACACUGCCAUGACGCUUUGCAGAUUCUCCGAAAUCUCUACCCCACUUUGCACCUCCCCGAGAAGUAAGUUAUCAUUUUUCCUUAAUUCUUAUCUUCUGUCAGACUACUGUGCAUCCAAGAGAUUACGGUUGUUUUCAUGAUGGUGUAGAUGCGAAGAUGAGAAGCCUUUCUCGUCAAAGUAUGAGAUAUCAAGAAAGAAGGCAGAAGCUCUGGGUGUCAACUUCACUCCAUUGGAGGUGAGUCUGAGAGAUACCGUCGAAUGCCUCAAGGAAAAGGGAUUCAUCUCUAUCUAGGCACUUGCUUAGAACAGCAUAUCACAAGCUUGCUAGUAAUGACUUGUGGACCUGUGGUCUGUCCUCAGCCUUUCAGCUCCUAAAUCAUACAACUGUUCUGAAUAAUGUAUCAUUACCCACUUUUAGAGAUUACACUGCCAGUUUUUCCCAGCUAAUCUUAAGUUAUUGAUGUUUAGUUUCUCUGUCCAAUUUGCCUGCCGAAACGACUCAUCAUAUAGAACAUCAGAAAUAAUCUCGAAGACUUUGUAAGCAAUGUCGAAAACUUGUGAGAUAAAUUGAGUUAAUGACUCAAGCUAGCGGUUAAGCCAAGAAGGCUCCUUUCAGGCCAACAUACUUGACUGCCAUUAUGUAUAACGCCAAUAGAAAAAUGAAGGACUUACUAUAAUUGGAUAUGAAUAUCAAAGACUGAUUCUGCCAAUGACUUAUAUGACCAAAAAUUGGUGACUCAUGGUACUCUCAAUCAACAGAGCAUUGAACAGUGUUUCUGAGCUUAACAAAACCUUGAUAAUAAUAGCUGGAUCAUAAGUAGACAAUGCAUACUGGCUGCGAUUGCCAUCCCGAUGCAAGAGAGCUUUACACGACCAAAUUGCAUCUGAACUUGCAGCACCUAAUAGUUGAGCGUGCACUUUCUGUCUGCAGACGUAAUAUGUGGUUAUCAAACAAUCAAUCUUCACUUCUGAUGAAAGCAUCUGAACUGCCAUCUCAUUUCAUCUGCAUAUGCAAUGGUCUGACAGGCCUUUGUAUAACUCCCACUGCAUUAUCCCAUCCAUAGCUUCAACACCUUAUCUUCACCACCAGAAGCAACAUUCUCACCAUCUGGAUUCCAAUCGACCGCAAAAACCUUCUCACGAGAACACGUGCUAAAAUAAGUAAGUGGUAGUCCAUGAUAGACAUACAAACUUUAAACUUGUCUGAUGACAAUGUUAGGGGAACAAACCUCAUCCGUAUGACCCGGAAGAUCUUGUUUCAACUUCUUCAUGCGAAUAUCCCAGAUCUAAAAGUAAGCCAAAUAUUGAGCAAACAUUUAAGCAUUCAAAUCAGGCAAAAAUUCAUAAUAAUCAUAACCGGUAAAAAGGGCAGACUCCACAUGCUAUUGACAUUUACAAAUAGUUCAAACAGAAUUAAACAACAAGCAAGAGUACAUCACUCAAGCUUCCAUUCGUACUCUGCUUUACAAUAUCCUCAUCACCAUAUCUCGCAAAAUAAGCAGACCUAACAUGGUCUAACGGUUCAAAAAAUAACUUUAAAUAGACCAUUGAGAUCUCAAUGAAAACAAGUUGCACUAGAACUCAGCAACAACCGGGGGCAAAAAUCCUUAUUGCUUGCACCAUAAAUAAACUAAUUUCCUGUAACACUGAUAUUAUUUUCACAGAUAAUAUUACAAGCUCUCCUGUUACAAUUCUAAGUGACCACACUUGAUCUCUCUUAAAGCUGGCCCAUGACACACGUAAGUACUUUACGGAAAUCAUUCAAAUGCUAUAUGCUUUGUGCAACUGACCUUCAGGGUAGUCUUUGCUCCCACUUAAAAUAAGUCUACUAUCCGCAGACCAACUGUGCAUUAUGUAAAUCAUGAUUAGAAAUCAUUCUUGAAUGGAUAAGACGAGCAAAUUUUGAAAAUAUCUCAAACCUUAUCUGAUAUACAGGCCCGACAUGUCCACUGAAUGCAGCAACAAACUUCCCAAUGAUACCAUUACACAACUUCAAAGAUCUAUCAAACGAAGCACUAGCCACCCAUUGCCCAUCCGGUGAAAGGUAGACACGAUCCACAAGCUGCAAACAAAAAGCAUAAUUUCCCGCAUUUACACCUAAGACAGUUCAACAAGGAUCUAAAGUACUAGCCUCAAGAAAAUAUUAGGAGGAUGUCUCAUCCAUUGAACCAGUGCCACCAGGACCACAAUGUGGAGGACGUCCUUAUUUAGCAUCAUUAUGGCAAUUGAUAGUAUAUAAUGGAACACAAACAGUCUUCUAAAUACAGUAAAGACUUAGGGAAUCAAUCACACAGCAAAAGCAGGCAGCUGUCAAAUCAAUCUCCCUCCCUCCCUCCCUCCCUCCCUCCCUCCUCCCUCCUCCGUCACACACACGCACACACAUACCUGUUGAUGAUCGGUCAAGAACGGACAAUCAUGUUUUUGGAUGCUUACUGACAUAAGGUUCCCCACAAAACAGAGUAAUGNNNNNNNNNNNNNNNNNNNNNNNNNNNNNNNNNNNNNNNNNNNNNNNNNNNNNNNNNNNNNNNNNNNNNNNNNNNNNNNNNNNNNNNNNNNNNNNNNNNNUUUCAUUUUCUUGUAACUUUCUAAUGCAACUAUGUUCAUCAACAAAAUACAGAAGUUCAUAUAACACUUACCAGAAAGUAGAACUACAAAUGUGCAUAGACCCAAAGGCAGAGAAUCACCACAGAGCCAGAAGACGUGCUGACUAAUGCAUACUAGGUUGUAAGAAAAUAAUGUCCAGAGAGAAAUAACCAAUGCAUACUAAGUUGCAUGAGCAAAUCAAUAUGCAGAGAGAAAUAAAUGUUUGAUUUAUUGCCUCAUGAUAUAAAGAUGAUUCCACAUAAUAACAGUUACCUACUUGCUUCAUUUCUUCAGAAGAUGAAUACUGUUUUCCAGUGUGAUCAAAAGCUACAGUUCGAAGAACAUACUCAGUGCUCAGAGCAGGAGUUAACCCAGUGUCCAUGAUCCUACAACAAAAAUUUUACAGAAAUAAGGAUGAUCGUGAAAAAAAGAAGAGAGGGAUCUAGCAGCAACUUAGAUUAAGAAUGCGGACUUGGCAGUAGAAACUAAGAAAAGACAUAAUCACGCGAGCCAUGAAAACUAAACUCUAACCUUAAUAUGCAAUUCAUAUCUCAGACAUCAAAAAAUGGUGGUAUUUCAUUCCUACCGUCAAUAUCUCCCAAGAACUAUACAAUGAAAACAAUCAAGGACAUGAUAUCGCCAGUAGCUGGGCUAAAUAAUAUGCCCAAUUAGUAUGGGGUAGGUCACUAGUUGUCAAACUGCCUCCUGGCACUAAAGAGAUUGAGUGAAUGCAGCUACUCCAAAGGCGCAAAUAAAUAUAAGGCUCUUGUGGCGAAGAAGAAGACAGGCAUGCAAUGACCCUGCAAUCUGUAUAACAAACUUUAAAAAAGAUGUUACCUUCAAUUCCCUUAUCACCUUCCCCUGGGAGUUUCUCAGACAUUAAUUGUACAGUCCUGGGAGCUGCAAGAAAUUUAAAAUAAUUACUUCACCAGGCAACAAGUAGUAGAAGCAGCAGAAGUUUGGCAAAGGAUACUCAGUAGCUUGAAAGCAGAAUUUACAAGUCCUCGCUUAAUCUUAGGCCCAUUAGAAGUAUGAAUAAGUCAAGAAAACUUCAUGUUAUUCUUUUGUUUUCAUGUAGCAUGGCACUAGCAUAUGGACAUUAAUACAUCACAAAGUGAUUAAAUAUUUAUCUCAGUGUUGAAUUGCCUCUCCUGUUCCAACUUGUCAGUGGGACAGCUAUUAAGGAUUGGGAGAGAGAAUUCAUGCCAAAAAUUUGAAACCAUUAAGUGAAAGGCAAUUUCACCAACAAUUGCCAAAAUUAAGGAAGUUGCAUACCCAGUAUACAUUACAACGUCUCCUCCCCAAUUUAUGCAUGUAAUAACUAGAGUAUGACCGCUCAGACAUAUUACACAACUUUGUAGUGUUACAUCCCGUAUGCAUGCAUCACCGUCUUCACAUGAACUCACAAAGCGACGGCAUGGGGAACUCAGAUGUACUGGUUCCCAAGAUAAACCUGUGAUCCAUUUCUUGUGGCCCUGACAUAAAGCAGAUUCAAUUGUCUUAGUGGCACAGAGACUAUUCUUGCUAUGCAUCAGCCACAAAAUCAAGUUAGACACUUCAACACCUCACAAGUUAUCGUCAAAAAAUGGUAAAGGGUGUCAGAAAGCUUUCCUCAACAAAAAGGGUACACCAUGAUCUCAUCCUAUAAAGGCAAAGCUACACAAUAAACUGUACUCACUACACUAAACUUAUGGAUAUCAUCCAAAUUAACGCCAACACUGCUCCCGCUUAUUUUGCCACAAGUAUCAAAUUAGAAGCAACAAAUUGGCAAUUUUAUCCACCAUUUCCUCUUCAAUAUGGAGUUAUAAACCAAGAAAUAUUAAUAGGAAAUGGAGUUCCAUGGAAUCCUUUAAGGAAGGAUUCGUGUAACACCAAAGGUCCAAAACUAUUUGGUCCAAACAACUUUCCAUAAAAUAAAUUUAGGUCAAAGUUAAAUGAAGUUGGUAAAAGCAGCAAAAUACAAUCAACUGAAUAAGAUACUUUCUAGUCUUAUAAUGCAAUAAGGAUCAUACGACAAGUGGAUUGCCUGAUGGUUGCGCAGUCAACGGAUCCCAACAUUGGAGUUCUCCAGCCUUGCUUCCACUUACAAGAUGCUUACCAUCAGGUUACCAUGUAAUACAGAGGACCCAAUUCUUGUGCCCUGAGUAAAAGAAAGUUUCAUUAAUCAAACAGACAAAAAGGAAACCAAGUAAUUUAUACUGCCAACAAACCGCUUACUAACAUUUUUUCCACCCACAAUCCACUACAUGGUCUUUGUAGGAUUGAUAUCACAUGGAUGCAAUAACAUUUACAAGCUCAUUAUCCUGUGAGAAAAAUAUCACGUGAGGUCAUUACUACUACGUGUCAAUUGGUAACAAGUGACAAGCUGCCAUAUCAAAUCUAAAACAAGAAAAGGAAAUUGACAACUUCAUCAAUCAACGUUCAACUCUAAAUUCACAAAUUAUUUUGAAGUGCAUCAAUAGACCCACACUAAUACUUUUCGAAAACCCAGCUAGUUUAAUUGCGGAAAUUUACUUCUCAGUUUGAAAACAAAACAAGUAAUGCCUAAUUCAAACAAUUUUUGUUUGAUGAUCACCGGUGCAUUUGUAUACUAUAGCAAAAUCCCCUAGAAUGAAAUCUAUGGGAAUUUGCACAACGAAAAAAAGAUAACAAAGCCUAGUCUUGAUUUUGCAUUUCACAUCCAACUGCUGGAUCCUGAGUGAAACCUUACCAACAAGCUGAUCUCCGCAAAUCAAAGAUAUACAAUGGCAUCCACCAUUCACAUUUUUGGAUACCUACCAAAUUUCUCCUGAAUUGCAACCAUUAAUACGGGAACUUGAACACAGGAGCACAGUUACCCAUCUUCUCCUGUAUUUCAACUACAUCCUGUAGAAAGCAUCCAAUUGUUGGUUUAAUGCAAACAAAUUUCUUCAAACUUUCAGUAAAAUAAAAGAAACAUGGUUAUCUCGCAGCCACAGGUACUUUCAGAUUCACCCAACCAUCAAAAAACCUUGUGACAAUUUACACAUUGUCCUAAAGUCUUCACAGAAAAAGAAAACCACGCUUUGCUUUGCUUUAAAGCUAAACUAGUAAUGGAAGUUAAAGAAAUGAAAUGGCUGUUAUCUAAACACUAGUUCCAUGAAACUACUGCAAAAGUAAUGAAGAAAGAAAGCAAAUUCAAGCUUCAGUUACUUGAAUAUAUUGCAAUUGUCCCCAGGCACAAAAUCCAAACUAUCCGCACUUGAACAUGGAAUGAGACAUGGGCUGCUAAAGGUAACGAAAGUACUUAAGACUAAACCAACUACCAAGAUACAAGACAAAUUUGCCAUCUCAUUUUAGGCACCAAUAGAGAGACUUGAACGAUCAAGCCAAAACUAUUUAGCGCCAAAGAGAAGAAAAAAAAAAGCCAGAAAAUUCAGCGCAAUCAUAGAAGCGCCUAACGAAAUGCAAAAACAGCGAGGGGAAAGGGAAGGCCGACUGCAAGAGGGAAGGCCGCGGGCGAGGCGAGGCGAGGCGACCGACGGACCGAGAGCGAGAUUAGGGAGAGAGUUUUUUGAGAGGGCUAGGGUUUUGUCCAUCAUUAUGCGUGAGGAAAGGGGAGAUUGCGAAAACGCGACACGCGAGCUCAACUAGAGGAAGCAGAGGUAGCAAGCAAGAAGAGAGAAACGCUGCGGGAAUUAGCGAGCGACCGAGAGGAAGAAGCGAACCUGCAGCAGAGCCUCGAGACGGGAGCGAAGAACCAUAGAAAACGCCGUUCUGAACGAAGAAGAAGACGGAGAAGAGGAGGAGGAGGAGGAGGAGAGAGAGAGUCAGCAGAAGCCGUCAGGGAGCAGCAGAAUUAAAGAAGCGGGAGACGUACAGUCCGGUAAGCCUGCGUGCUGGUACAUGAUGGAGUAACAAAACGCGGGUUCUCAAUAUUUGAAUUAGUAGGUUCGUUCAUCAAAAUUUUGUUACGCCCGUGUUUAGUUAGGAAAGGGUGACAUUUAAUCAGGAUGGUAAGUCAAGAUUCCAUCUCAGUAUCACCAAAAUUUCAAUUUCUAGCAAAACGAAUGAUGCGAAUGAUGAUAAAAGGGAAAUUACCCACUUUACCACUUGUAUUUUCAUAUUGCAUUUUUGCAUCCUCGAUUUUAAAUUCACUACUAAAUUUUGUCAAACCAAAUUGUAUUAUUAAGACCUCUGUAUUAUCAUGAGAAUUUGAUAAUUUAUGUCUCUCGAAAUAGUGGUUCUGGAAUGCAAAAUAAGGUGGGUUGUCAAGUUAACGUCAGUUAUAUUUGUGACAAGCGCAUCUACUCUUUCAUUGCAUUGAUUCAUAGUCUUUUUAAUUUGAGCUUUAAUGUGUGUUCUCAAAAACUUUAGCCGGAAAUUGCUAAAGAGCAUAAAAUUGGCCUGUUGUGAUAAACUCUACACACCUGAUUGAUCCUUUAUUAAAGUUGGAAAGCUUCAUUCAACAUGUGACAGUGACAUUACAAUCUUAGGUAGGCACUACCACACAUCUAAGGCUGCUCCUCUAUUAUAGCCUCAGCGUGAUUAAUUUCUUUCAUGGAUUUGUCCUUUCACAUGUAGAUAACUAAGAUAGGUACUUCUCCAGGAUGUUGGACAUCUAUCAAUGCCAAACCAACGCCAACAGAUCCCAAACCGGUUGAUGCGCCUCCGUCACUGCUCCGCCGCCCCUCCGCGUCGAUCGGUUCCAUGGAUCUACCCGGGAACUGGACCGGACCGGCGGUCCGGUUCUCGGGUGGAUCCAUGCAACAAACGGAUGGAUCCCGGUUCCAAUUUUUCGGAACCGGUCCUUAACGGGCGGUUCCCGGUUCUAGGUCAGGAACCGCCUGCCCGAACCAUGCACACCCCUAGUGCCAAGAACGGAGGAGAUGAGCGGAGCAGAGAAGGUGGUGGGCGCGAUCGGAGGGUCGGAUCUCUAUAAAAAAUAGUCACUUCUAGCAUGAUAUUGAAUUAUUGUAAUGCCAAGCAAUUGUAUCUUCCUUGCCCUAAGGAUUUGUUGUUCACCAAUUGGAUUCUCAACCUUUAUACAUACGAAUAUGCUCUCAUAUACCUUUACCAAAAAAAAAAAAAAAUAGGCUCUCAUGUAUUUUUCUGACUUAGGCGCGUUAGUGAGAAGCUUCUCAUUACUUACUCUUAAAGUGGUGAUUCUAGAAUGCUAAAUGAGGCAGCGUUGUCAAGUUAAUGUCACUUAUAUUUGCGACAUACGCAUGUGUUCUUUCAUUGCAUUAACUUAUAAUAUUUCUAUUUUGAGUUUUGGCAUGUCCUUUCAAAAGCCUUAGCAGAGGACCCCGCUGGAAAUUGCUAAAGGGCACAAAAUUGGCCUGUCGUGAUAUAGACCCGACAAGCAUGGUUGGUCCUCUAUUAGAGCCUGAAAACUUCAUUCAACAUGCGAGUGACAUUAUACAUAGGCACUAGCCCCACCUCUAAGGUUGGUGAUUUACUACUCGGUUCUUUAAAGAUUCGGCCGAGCAUCGGGCUCUUUAUAAGUCCAUCUGCUCCGCCACCGAGUCCAGUACUCGUUCACUCUCUCCCCCGAGCCACAGGAGACGAGACCAGCGUGUGUGAACUCCACGGUUCAGGUGCCGAGAACGGAGAAGAUGAGCGGAGCAGGGAAGGUGGUGGGUGUGACCGGAGGGUCGGGUUACAUAGCUUCUUGGCUGGUCAAGCUCUUGCUCCACCGUGGCUACACUGUUCGAGCCACAAUCCGAGACCCAAGUAAGAAAAAAGUUCCCUCUCCCUCCCUCUCUCUAUCUCUCUCUCUCUCUCUCUCUCUCUCUCUCUCUCUCUUAUGCUCUUUUACGCUUCUUGGGCAUUGUCAAGCUGUUGGAAGAAGAAAAAACAAAGAACCGUUGAAAUCUGAUAAUCCACAUGAAGUUAUGUGGAAACCCUUUAUUAGAGUGAAACCAUCGAGCUAUUUUUUGUGAGAGAGAAGAAUUUUGCUAGCUUCAUUAGUUUUGUCUAUAUAUCUAUCUGAUAAAGUUCCGAUCUUUUGCAUCCUGUUCGACUUUGUUAAAGAAGUAGCACGCUCAAACCAUCGCUCAAUUCCGGAUUCUUGAUUUAUUUAUUCUCGCAUCAGUUUUGCACAAGUUCGUCCAUAAACAAUACGACUCUUCUCGUUCCGCCUAUGCCCUUUCUGACUAUAGAUGCUACUAGUGUGUCGGUGAGGGUCCCUGCAACUUUUUAAAUUUCAGUCAGUUGAGAUUUCUCAUUCUUGUGCAUGUGCAACAGCCGACCCAAAGAAGACAGGACACCUCCUGGCACUGGAGGGGGCUAAGGAGAGGCUGCAUUUAUUCAAAGCGGAAUUGCAGCAAGAAGGGUCCUUUGACUCCGUAGUCGACGGAUGCGAAUGUGUUUUUCACAUUGCAUUCCCCUAUCUGCCCUCAGCUGCUGACCCCCAGGUGCUUGAAUCUUGCCAUGUCAAUCAUCUUUCAUGAUUUGUUACGUGCUUAAAUUCCAACGUUGUCCUUGUUUUCCUAAAUGAGUAGAUAGGUCCAUGUGGAUGGGGAUUUGCGUUUCUUCUGCCAUAACGAGUUCAGUUUUGGUUUUCUGAUACUUUUAAUGAGAAUUUUACCUAAUGAUUUCUUCUAUUACAUGACUCAGGCUGAAAUAAUUGAUCCUGCCGUAAAGGGCACCCUCAAUGUUCUAAGAUCAUGCGCCAAAGCCUCUUCUAUCAAGAGAGUGGUUGUGACGUCCUCUAUGGCCACAGUUGCAUUUAGUGCAAAACCUGUGACUUCGGGCAUUGUCAUUGAUGAGACUUGGGAUUCAGAUCCAGAAUUUUGCCAGAAAUCCAAGGUUUGUGUAUCAAUAUUUCCUAACAAUAUUGCUGUUCAUUUCUUGAAAUUUAACUAUCGAAUAACAUUCAGAGUUAUUGUUAUAAAGUAAAACUGGUAAAAUGUUGAUUCCGAGAGAAGUCGGAACAUCAGGGAACAUUCUCUCUUAAAUCACAUAGCUUUCACUAGACACAUUUUACAGAUGCUCGAACCGAGGAGUGCCUAUCUUAUCACUUACGGUUGUUUGUGUUACUCUUGCAAUUUAGUCUAGCACCAUGUUAGAUGCUACAUAUGCUUAUUGAAAACAACAUUUUCUAUAUACUUCGAUUCAUGGGGAACUACUUGUCUGUCAUUUCUUUUAAUUGGUAAUCUCCCAAUGCCCCUUGGAUGACAUCGAAUGAAGUCCAUGUCAUGGCAAUGGUUAUUAUAUGUGUUGAAUGAGGCAAAACAUUCUAACAGUCUCUUUGUUUUAUCUAUCUUCAGCUCUGGUAUAUCCUUUCAAAAACCUUCGCAGAGAAGGCAGCUUGGGAAUUUGCCAAAGAGAAUGGAAUUGACCUUGUGAUCAUAAACCCAGGACAUGUGUUCGGUCCCUUCUUGCAGCCCACUGUUAAUUUCUCCGUGGGGUUAAUACUGAACCUCAUCAAUGGUAUCACUAUCAUCUAGCCAUAAAUUAUGUUUGUUAUUAAAUCUUUGCCAUUUUAUUUCAGAGCAGCUUCGUCAAACAUUUGUGCAUACUUGUUCUCAUUACCCAAAAGACAAUCUCAAGGAGUAACCGUAGAACUAUCUAUCUGAUUGUAUGCCCUUAAUCAUACUUACGAGUUAUGGCCACGUGUCUCAGAAUGUCAUUCUGCAUUGCUCCAUGGAAUGGCUAUCCUUCUUUGCUAGUUAACUGAAUUUGGCAACAUGAGGUCCUCAGGCCCUUAAAUUCUAUUUAUUGGAUCUGGCUUCUUUAUUGAAGGGUCUGCUUGAUUGGCUGCACAGACACUAUUAUAAUCAUCUGUUAGAUUUCCACAUGCGACAUAGUUUUCAACUACCGGCAGAAGCAUCUAGUAUAAAGUAAAAGUUGUAUUGACGUUGGCAUGGGAGUAAUUGAGGCUUAUCCUGCAGGAGCUCAAACAUUUCCAAAUACAUGCUAUAUAUUUGUCGAUGUCAGAGACGUCGCACACGCACACAUUCUAGCUUUUGAAAAUCAUUCAGCUCACGGAAGAUAUUGCCUAGUAGCCAAAACUGUGCACUGCCAUGAUGUUUUGCAGAUUCUGCGCAAUCUCUACCCCACUUUGCACCUCCCUAAGAAGUAAGUUAUCAUUCUGCCUUAAUUCUUAACUCAUCUUCUGUCAGACUACUGUGCGUCCAAGAGAUUUACGGUUGUUUUCCUAAUGGUGCAGAUGCGAAGAUGAGAAGCCUUUCUCUUCGAAGGAUGAGAUAUCAACAAAGAAGGCAGAAGCUCUGGGUGUCGACUUCACUCCAUUGGAGGUGAGUCUGAGAGAUACCGUCGAAUGCCUCAAGGAGAAGGGAUUCAUCUCUGUCUAGGCAGUUGCUUAGAACAGCAUAUCACAAGCUUGCUAAUAAUGACUUGUGGACCUGUGGUCUGUCCUCAGCCUUUUAGCUCCUAAAUCGUACGAUUGUUCUGAAUAAUGUAUCAUUACCCACUUUCAGAGAUUACUCUGCCAGUUUUUCC
Molecule: long non-coding RNA, 42588 nt
Filed under: Eucalyptus grandis
Lineage: Eukaryota; Viridiplantae; Streptophyta; Magnoliopsida; Myrtales; Myrtaceae
Description: long non-coding RNA (EGRA_LNC004488)
Source: RNAcentral